RNAcentral lists this non-coding RNA (241 nucleotides) under Vitis vinifera (wine grape). RNAcentral's name for it is "Eukaryotic small subunit ribosomal RNA". It matches the Rfam family "Eukaryotic small subunit ribosomal RNA", at positions 1242 to 1404 of the family's 1831-position model. The record is from Rfam by way of RNAcentral. Lineage: Eukaryota; Viridiplantae; Streptophyta; Magnoliopsida; Vitales; Vitaceae.
CAUAGAUUGAGAGCUCUUGAUUCUAUGGGUGGUGGUGCAUGGUCAUUCUUAGUUGGUGGAGCAAUUUAUCUGGUUAAUUCUGUUAACGAACGAGACCUCAACCUGUUAACUAGCUAUGUGAAGGUGAGCCUUUGUAGCCAGUUUUUUAGAGAGAUUAUGGUUAGGUCUCACUUAUCCUACACCUCUUAAGUCAUUUCACAAAAUCGGACUAGAGUUAAGUUCAACAGGAUCUUUUUGCCAC